CCCUUAGAUGUCCUGGGCCGCACGCGUGCUACACUGACGCCUACAGCGAGUACUUCCCAGCCCCGAGAGGUGGCUGGUAAUCAGCAAUAGGCGUCGUGAUGGGGAUAGAUCUUUGGAAUUAUGGAUCUUGAACGAGGAAUGCCUAGUAAGCGUAGGUCAUUAGCCUACGCUGAUUAAGUCCCUGCCCUUUGUACACACCGCCCGUCGCUCCUACCGAUUUCGAGUGGUCCGGUGAAACUUUUGGACCGUGCGACUUUAUUGUUGUCACGGAAAGUCAGUUAAACCAUACUACUUAGAGGAAGGAGAAGUCGUAACA
Molecule: ribosomal RNA, 316 nt
Filed under: uncultured eukaryote
Lineage: Eukaryota
Description: partial 18S ribosomal RNA
Rfam family: Eukaryotic small subunit ribosomal RNA
Source: RNAcentral